This 231-nucleotide ribosomal RNA is filed under the name uncultured bacterium. Its description in RNAcentral is "partial 16S ribosomal RNA". It matches the Rfam family "Bacterial small subunit ribosomal RNA", at positions 524 to 750 of the family's 1533-position model. The record is from RNAcentral.
UACGUAGGGUGCGAGCGUUGUCCGGAAUUACUGGGCGUAAAGAGCUCGUAGGUGGUUUGUCGCGUUGUCCGUGAAAACUCACAGCUUAACUGUGGGCGUGCGGGCGAUACGGGCAGACUAGAGUGUGAUAGGGGAGACUGGAAUUCCUGGUGUAGCGGUGAAAUGCGGCCAGAGUAUCAGGAGGAACACCGAUGGCGAAGGCAGGUCUCUGGGCCGACUGCUGACGCUGGA